This 334-nucleotide long non-coding RNA is filed under the name Homo sapiens (human). RNAcentral describes it as "HSALNT0301210". The record is from RNAcentral. Lineage: Eukaryota; Metazoa; Chordata; Mammalia; Primates; Hominidae.
AACAAUUCAUGCAGCCAGUCUUUACUGAACAUGUACGUGCCUAGGAAGUCUCAGGAAUGGGUAAGUGCUCCUGCUCCCACACAGUCUACAGACCUGGGUGCAAUGGUGAGAAAGACCUCAGUAAAGCAAAGGAAUUACGAAAGGGAGAGGAUAGAAGAUAAAGUACAUAAUAGUUUCCUGAAGCAGCAGAAUGAAAGAACUCUCUGUGGCAUGAAAAUUUACUGCUAAAGUCAAGCCUUUGGCCUCAUCCUAUUCUGACAUCACAGGGAGGCAGCAGCUGAGGCUGUGGUGGGAGAAGAAUGACAAGAACUGAGCGUGGGCCACGGGCUCUUAC